RNAcentral lists this unclassified non-coding RNA (262 nucleotides) under uncultured Pleosporales. RNAcentral's name for it is "sequence contains 5.8S rRNA gene, ITS2, 28S rRNA gene". The record is from RNAcentral. Lineage: Eukaryota; Fungi; Ascomycota; Dothideomycetes; Pleosporales.
AACGCACAUUGCGCCCCUUGGUAUUCCAUGGGGCAUGCCUGUUCGAGCGUCAUUUGUACCCUCAAGCUCUGCUUGGUGUUGGGUGUUUGUUGGGGGGAAGUGCCUCGGCACCUCUGCCCGACUCGCCUUAAAUGUAUUGGCAGCCGGCGUAUUGGCUUAUGAGCGCAGCACAUUUUGCGAUUGUAGCCGCUAUUCUGGCGUCCAGCAAGCCCAAAUUAUCACUUUUGACCUCGGAUCAGGUAGGGAUACCCGCUGAACUUAA